GAUUUUCAGUAUACAGACUCAAAUGUCCGGCAAAAUAAUAUGCCUUUCGUUACCUAUGACCACGAAAACAUGGGAUGGGCGAAAGAGUACGGCGGCGGCUUCUGGUUGAAUGACUUGUUCAGUGCUUUCCCGACCGGGCGGUACAAUAGGACAGAUGGGAAUGGAGUUAUUUGGUAUUCAUGGAGAGAAGGUCAGUCACUGAAAGAAAUCGCCAUGUCAAUCAGACCAAAGGGAGUGGUUUAAAGAAUUGCUGUCUCCGGGUCUACAGUGCAGAAAUAAAAUAAUAAAUUUAAUGAACCGUACUUCUAUAUGGAUGGAUGGCUUGUUCGGUGAAAAAUACAUAGAUUGAUGAAUACAGAGAUCCAGUUAGAUGCGUUAUUAAAUUUGAUGAAUUAAA
Long non-coding RNA from Gigantopelta aegis, 397 nucleotides. RefSeq lists it as uncharacterized. NCBI's taxonomy places the organism in Eukaryota, Metazoa, Mollusca, Gastropoda, Neomphalida, Peltospiridae. The transcript has 3 exons. The record is from RefSeq and is a predicted model, not a curated record.